GGUGGAGCCUGAGCACUCACGUUGGGACCCGAAAGAUGGUGAACUAUGCCUAGACAGGGGAAACCUUGUUGGAAGUCCGAAGCGGUUCUGACGUGCAAAUCGAUCGUCUGAUCCGUAUAUAGGGGCGAAAGACUAAUCAAAUAAUCUAGUAGCUGGUUCCCUCCGAAGUUUCCCUCAGGAUAGCUGGUGCUCGAUCGAAAUUCAAUCACGAUUGGUAAAGCGAAUGAUUAGAGGCCUUGGGGCCGAAGCGACCUCAACCUAUUCUCAUACUUUCAAUGGUCGUAGAGUUCUCCUUUCUCGACUUUAAGGUUGGACGGUGGAUGAGAGCCUAGAGGGCCAUUUUUGGUAAGCAAAACUGGCGCUGUGGGAUGAACCAAACGCCGGGUUAAGGCGCCCGAUGCAGAGACGCUCAUGAGACCCCAUAAAAGGUGUUGGUUGCUCCAGACAGCAAGACUGUGGCCAUGGAAGUCGACAUCCGCUAAGGAGUGUGUAACAACUCCACUGUCAAAGCAACUAGCCCUGAAAAUGGAUGGCGCUCCAGCGUCGAGCCCAUACCCGGUCGGCGCGGUAAAUGAUUUUUUUUAUUACCGCGCUGAGUAGGAGGGUCGCGGCGGUGGAAGGGCGUGGCGCAAGCCUGCCUGGAGACCCCGCCAGUGCAGAUCUUGGUGGUAGUUGCAAAUGCUUAAGUGAGAACCUUGAGGACUGAAGUUGGAGAAGGGUUCCAUGUCAACAGCGUUUGCGCAUGGGUGAGUCGGUCCUUAGCCAACGGAGAGAUCCGUGCUAGGCGAGACUUUACGAGUCACGCUAUAGACGAAAGGUUAUCGGGUUAAGAUUCCCGAACCCGGACACGAAAUAAAUGAAACUUUGGUCUCUGGUGCGGUAACGCAAACGAACUCAGAGACGCCCGUGAAGGCACCAGGGAAGAGAUUGUUUCUUUUCUUCGUAAGAGGU
Non-coding RNA from Nephila pilipes (giant wood spider), 951 nucleotides. The record is from the annotation of a GenBank genome assembly. NCBI's taxonomy places the organism in Eukaryota, Metazoa, Arthropoda, Arachnida, Araneae, Nephilidae.